Molecule: long non-coding RNA, 1532 nt
Organism: Vicia villosa (hairy vetch)
Lineage: Eukaryota; Viridiplantae; Streptophyta; Magnoliopsida; Fabales; Fabaceae
Exons: 4
Source: RefSeq, a predicted model, not a curated record
AUAAGAAAAGUCUACCAUUUGGGACUUUCUUAGGCUAUCCACAUCAGCAUCUGUUCCAUGGUUAAUCCACAUCAGCCUUUGACAGUUAUAAUUUUUUCUUCUUUCAAUUUUCAAUUCCCUUUAAUUCAUUCAAUCCAAUUUUAUCAUCAACUACCAUUAACACCAACAAUCAUGGAAACGUUUCAAUCUUCGUAUUCCAACCGUUCCAAAAUCUCGCUCAUCCUUUCUAUCUCUCUCACGGACUCCCCUCUUCUUCUUCUUUCUUUUUCUCUUCUUCUUCCUUCCUCCUAUUUGUUGAUCUCUCUAUCUCUUACAUUUGUGUCUUCCUCACCAUCAGCAUAUGGGUUAGUUGUUGUUACAUCACACGUCGCCUGAAGCAUGUUGUUGUGCGAUAUUGCGGGAGCAUUUACGCCAGGAUCUUUUCAAUACUCAGCUUGGUUACGGUUGCAAAGUGAGAUUGAUUCAGAAGCUACAAAAGGGGUAUGGGAUUUGAACCGUGGUUUGUCUGUCACUUUCAACAUCAAGGUGCUCACCUGCAGUGUAUGCUUGGAGAAGGUUAAUAUCGAAGAUGUACUUCGUAGCCUGCCCUGCCUUCAUUAGGUUGGAUGAUGAAGCACAAGUUUGCUUGGCUAUAAAAAAGAAAUGAUGGCAAUGAGAGAGAUCUAUUGGUUCUUUGUAGUAUUUUGAUUUUGUUUAUGCUUUGAAUUUCAGGUGGCGGUUCGUUUCGAUUUGGGUUUCUCCGAUUACGCUAACGGUUCAUAGGCGCACCUAUUUAAAAUUCGCUUCUAUGUUGUAUAAAUCAUAUCUACACUGUGCAUGAAAAGGAAGACGCGAAGCUGGGCUCACCGAUCCAACAACUAAAAGAGGCAAGGUUUGAAGUUCCCUACUUGCUUUGUUGAGCUCUACAGGAUCCAAAACCUAGGAUACAUGUAUUAAUCAGUUAUUAGUUUACAACUUACAAGGUAAAGGUGGCCUCGAGGCUGCUGUGACUUGGAUAGAAAACCAUGAGAAUACGCUCGACAUAGAAAUGGUGGUCAUUCACCCAACCAACAUCUUGACUGCAGUGGACUGCAAGUCGCAACUGCAGGCAAUCCAGGUCCAUAAUUUCCAGCUUCGUGGUCUUCAGUUAUGACAAUUUUCAACAGCAUGUAACAGAUUACCACAUUAAAGACCCUAGCGCGGAGAAUGAAUAUGGUAGGGAGUGGAAUCUCUGGUAGAAUUACAGAAUUCAAUUUUGGCUCUCUCCAUAUGUGACAUGUUGAGUAUCCCAUGUAAUUUUUUAAUUAUAAGUGUACCUUAAUUUUCUACAUCGUCAAAUAAUCUUUACGAUCGAUUUUCAGGCAGCAUCAAUAUGAUUAGUAUAAGGGGCUUCUGUUUUCUGAUGAAGUUCAAUUCUAAAAACAAAGCAUGUUGCGAACAGUGUGAACAAAAUGUAGUAGAUGGUACCAUGUAGUUGAUUAUGCCAAUUGCAACAUAAAACAAGUUGUAGAUACAUAUAUAUACAGCUCUAUUUUAAUAUUGUAUAAUGUGUU